Molecule: transfer RNA, 65 nt
Filed under: Parafronurus youi
Lineage: Eukaryota; Metazoa; Arthropoda; Insecta; Ephemeroptera; Heptageniidae
Description: tRNA-Pro
Source: RNAcentral
CAGAGGGUAGUUUAUGAAAAUAUUAGUUUUGGGGACUAAAGAUGGGGCAAUAGCUCUACCUCUGA